UAAUCAUUUUUUUUUGAGAUAUACAAGAGACUCAAUAAUCUACGCCCAAAUAUCUUCAUGCAGCCUUAUUACCCGACAUUUCAAAACAAGAAAAACAAAACCCUUCGCUUUCCACCACCAAUCCUCCUCUCUCCUCCUCACUUGUCACCACCGACCUUCCUCUCUUUCUCAAGGCGACAAUUUCUGAAAAUGUCGACGACGACACCACUUGACGGGUUGCAGCUGUUACUGCUUGACACUUUGUUGCUGCUGCUGGGCCACCUCGCUACUGCUACCGCCUAACCAACGUUUCUGCUUCACGGUUACAGUUCCAAUAACUCAAAUCCUUCCUUAAUUCGCAUCUCAUCAGGGAAUUUCAGAGGUUGCCAUUAUCAAAAAUCAAAACCAAUUUUGGGGUUUUUUCGUUUUUGAGGUUUAAGGGCAUGAAUUAGAACAAAAUUAGAUUUGUUCUGACAAUUGUUGUUGAAGUAAUAUAAUAGAGGUAUGCUUUAUUCAAGCUUUAUUAUUUCUGCUUAAUUGAAAAUUGGUAGUUCUAAUCAAACUUAAUUGAACCUAAAAGAGAUGAAAUGGACUUAAUUAUUCUUUGAACUAGUUGAUUUAAGGUGAAAGAACGAGGCAUUCACUUGCUAAGAGUGGUAAAAGUGUUGUUAGGAAUUGUUAAUUUAAAGAGUAAGGGAGUCCUAGCCUAAAAUUAUGAGACACAUAGGAAAUGCAGUGUUAAUUUAAGUCCUGAGAAUCUUGUAUAUGUUAAUUUUUUGAGUGCUUUUAUUUCAUUCUAGCAAGUGUUUGAUAAUGUAUGUUAUAGCCUAUUUACUCUGUAGUGCUUCUAAUCGUAGAGUUUCAUGCACUUGGUUAGAACCUUGAAUAGUUGAAUGUGAGUUGGUUUGGUUAAGUUUUUCUUCGAAUUUUAAAGACUAGCUACGUAUUAUUCAUACCUAAAGUCAUGUUAUUUGAAAUUUGUUCUAUUUGUAUUUCCAUUUUUUAUAUGAAGUAAGUCUUUAAUGUACAAUCCCUCAAGUUAAUUUGUCCUAUAUAGCAUGUUUUAUAGUAGUCUGCUUUGUUAACACACUUAGAUUGUAUAUUAAUUGGGGUCAAUUUUGGUCUCGUUAUUUUUUUAAAAAAUUCUAUUUGAAGUGAUUUUGGGUGGUUUGUUGUUGUACCUUUGUGUGAUUGAGGUAGCUAAAAAUGGGGUAGUUCUAUGUGGCCAAAUGGUUUUUGCUUGGAGGUGAAUUGGUGGAAGCGAGUGCGACUCAGGGAACUUGGAUCUAGUUUGUUGCGUGUAAGACUCAAAAUUUGGUUUAGUUUUUGUGUGAAUUGUAUCCUAUCCUUAAUGUAGGAGAAAUACUUGUUUCUCUAAGUAGUUAAAUGUCUCCAAAGCUGCUUGCCCGUUGAAUAGAUAUUUGCCUUAAUGCUUAUUAAUUUCUUAAUGGGACUUGGUCGGGAAAUGAAUCAGGUACAAGUUAGGAAUGCAAAUGAAGUAAACAAGCUGUUCGCGAGUGUAUCGGCUCAUUGACGCCCCUAGUUUCAUCCUUGUAAAUUACAUCUUUUGAUUGCUUUGGGGUGUUGAUUCUUCUACUUAGAGGUUGUUCUUUACUCCUUUGGCCUCUUCUUGAUUGAGUGAAUGCUUAUGAUAUUGCAGAGAGAACAAGAGCCUAACGGGUACAACACCUUAUGCAAGUGUUAAUACUCAUCUUGGAAUUGAUGCCUAGGAAUCUAACUAUUUGCAAACAAUUGAAGAAUAAUAUGAGGAAGAAAAAUGGAUGACACUAACAGAGACUGAGGCUUUCAUUAAAUAUCAUUUUUUCUUUCUCUUCUAGUUUCCAAUUCCUGUUUAGUGUAACACUUGUGAACAACCAAAGAGAAAUGUUAGUUUAUUAAGGUGUUUUUGUAAAUGACAAUUAUAUUUAUCUAUAUAGUAACUUUUUAUUGAUUUGUUAAA
Beta vulgaris subsp. vulgaris (sugar beet) is the source of this 1939-nucleotide long non-coding RNA. RefSeq lists it as uncharacterized. The record is from RefSeq and is a predicted model, not a curated record. The transcript has 3 exons. NCBI's taxonomy places the organism in Eukaryota, Viridiplantae, Streptophyta, Magnoliopsida, Caryophyllales, Amaranthaceae.